This 537-nucleotide long non-coding RNA is filed under the name Homo sapiens (human). RNAcentral's name for it is "non-protein coding lnc-TMEM52-1:1". The record is from RNAcentral. Lineage: Eukaryota; Metazoa; Chordata; Mammalia; Primates; Hominidae.
CGCCGCGGCGGGACUGGACCGAGCCUCGCCGGCGCGCACCUGCCCGCAGCGCCCGCGGAGCGCGCAGCGCGGCCCGAGCGCGACGACCUGCCGAGCGGCGGCCGAGGCGGCGGUGUGGGCGCGUCAGGCCGCGACGAGGGCGCUGAGACAAAUUUACAUGUAUUGGAGACCAGACCAGAAGCCCUUCUGAAUUAAGAUCUCACAUUCUUGAAGGUGGCAUUGAAGAGCACUAAGAUCGGAAGAUGAGUGAGCUUGACCAGUUACGGCAGGAGGCCGAGCAACUUAAGAACCAGAUUCGAGUAUGUAGUUGUGUGUGCUUGGUUUUAUUAAUCAUUUGAGUUUCAGGUUAGAUGUUACUUGUUUUAGGAAAAAUGGUUUACAGGAUGACUUGUUCUAUGUUUUAUAUGAAAUUGAAUCUUAGUUGGCCCAGGAUGUACUAAUUAUAGAUCUAGAUACUUAGCCUAGUACAUUGUUUUUGGGAUUUUGCUUUCUGUAUACAAUUUGUUAUUUGAAUAUACACCAGAUGUCUCCGUAGAA